AUUGAACGCUGGCGGCAGGCCUAACACAUGCAAGUCGAACGAGUGGCGGACGGGUGAGUAAUGUCUGGGAAACUGCCUGAUGGAGGGGGAUAACUACUGGAAACGGUAGCUAAUACCGCAUACCAUCGGAUGUGCCCAGAUGGGAUUAGCUAGUUGGGGGGGUAAAGGCUCACCUAGGCGACGAUCGCUAGCUGGUCUGAGAGGAUGACCAGCCACAAUGGAACUUAGACACGUUCCAGACUCCUACGGGAGGCAGCAGUUGGGAAUAUUGCACAAGGGGGGCAAGCCUGAUGCAGCCAUGCCGCGUGAAUGAAGAAGGCCUUCGGGUUGUAAAGUACUUUCAGCGGGGAGGCGUUACCCGCAGAAGAAGCACCGGCUAACUCCGUGCCAGCAGCCGCGGUAAUUC
Molecule: ribosomal RNA, 406 nt
Filed under: uncultured bacterium
Lineage: Bacteria
Description: partial 16S ribosomal RNA
Rfam family: Bacterial small subunit ribosomal RNA
Source: RNAcentral